RNAcentral lists this transfer RNA (69 nucleotides) under Eutrichosiphum pasaniae. Its description in RNAcentral is "tRNA-Tyr". The record is from RNAcentral. Lineage: Eukaryota; Metazoa; Arthropoda; Insecta; Hemiptera; Aphididae.
GAUAAAAUGGCUGAAAAUAGGUUGUAAAUUGUAAAUUUAUAUAUAGAUAUUAAAAAUAUCUUUUUAUCA